This 510-nucleotide ribosomal RNA is filed under the name uncultured bacterium. RNAcentral describes it as "partial 16S ribosomal RNA". It matches the Rfam family "Bacterial small subunit ribosomal RNA", at positions 28 to 507 of the family's 1533-position model. The record is from RNAcentral.
GACGAACGCUGGCGGCGUGCCUAACACAUGCAAGUCGAACGAAGAGCGAUGGAAGCUUGCUUCUUUCAAUCUUAGUGGCGAACGGGUGUGUAACGUGUAAUCAACCUUCCCUUCAGAGGGGGACAACAGUUGGAAACGACUGCUAAUACCGCAUACGAUCUAAUCUCGGCAUCCAGGAUAGAUUAAAGGUUUCCUCUACAUGUAAGCUCUCACUGAAGGAGGGGAUUGCGUCUGAUUAGCUAGUUGGGGGGGUAACGGCCCACCCAGGCGAUGAUCAGUAGCCGGUCCGAGAGGAUGAACGGCCACAAUGGGACUGGGACACGGCCCAGACUCCUACGGGAAGCAGCAGGGGGGAAUCUUCCGCAAUGGACGGAAGGCUGACGGAGCAACGCCGCGGGAGUGAUGGAAGCCUUCGGGUUGUAAAACUCUGUUAAUCGGGAAGAAAGGCCUUCUUGCGAAUAGUGAGAAGGAUUGACGGUACCGAAAUAGAAAGCCACGGCUAACUACGUG